This is a non-coding RNA of Pantherophis guttatus, 384 nucleotides long. Lineage: Eukaryota; Metazoa; Chordata; Lepidosauria; Squamata; Colubridae. The record is from the annotation of a RefSeq genome assembly.
AUGGAGCUAAAUAUCUUGAUUUCUUUCUUAAUGGUCUUACCUGCAUGUAUUUCCUCACAGAUUACACUGACGGAGUCUGGGGAUGGCAUGAAGAAGCCAGGAGAUACUCCACGGCUGACUUGUACAGUCUCUGGAUUUGCCAUCACAAGCUACGGAGUGUCCUGGAUCCGUCAGACCCCUGGAAAGGCUAUUGAAUGGAAUGGUAUCAUCUGGGGUAGUGGAAGCACUAACUAUAACAGUGCUCUCCAGAAUCGGAUCAGCAUCACAAGGGAUGCAUCCAAAAACCAGGUGUUCCUUCAACUGACUGGUUUAAAGACUGAGGACACGGGCACUUAUUACUGUGCAAGUGACACAGUGAGCAAAUGCUUUGCUGAAGCAGCCUAA